RNAcentral lists this ribosomal RNA (97 nucleotides) under Tolypothrix pseudorexia LCR-CYTR. RNAcentral's name for it is "partial 16S ribosomal RNA". It matches the Rfam family "Bacterial small subunit ribosomal RNA", at positions 1439 to 1533 of the family's 1533-position model. The record is from RNAcentral. Lineage: Bacteria; Bacillati; Cyanobacteriota; Cyanophyceae; Nostocales; Tolypothrichaceae.
CCUUUCGAGGAGGGGGAUGCCGAAGGCAGGACUGGUGACUGGGGUGAAGUCGUAACAAGGUAGCCGUACCGGAAGGUGUGGCUGGAUCACCUCCUUU